Numida meleagris (helmeted guineafowl) is the source of this 1459-nucleotide long non-coding RNA. RefSeq lists it as uncharacterized. The record is from RefSeq and is a predicted model, not a curated record. Lineage: Eukaryota; Metazoa; Chordata; Aves; Galliformes; Numididae. The transcript is spliced from 2 exons.
GAAAGCUCAGACUAGAGAAAUAAUUUUCUCUCUGCAACAUAGGUGGAGGACAAGAUGCAGAGCCUUGGACCAGUUCAUGGAGUCUGAAGCUGAGCAUAAAAACUAACUGGCAGAUUCAAGGGCUCUCUGUAGUGGAAAUGCUAAGUCAUGGCGUGAAGCACGAUUGAGCACCUGGUGCGAAGGCAGGGCCAACCCAGGGGAGCUCAGGUGCAUGAAAUGCACCUGAGUGAACAGAAGGGAUGAAGCAAGGAUCCACCCCUUCCCAGACCCCAUUUAAGUGUUGGCAGUGGAGGUGAGGGUGUGUCAUCUGUAUAUUCCUGCCUACCUGAGGACCUUGUAGGCCUUCUGAAGCAUUUUAUAAAUACAGCUACACAGAAGAAGCAAAUUUAUCCAUACCUUCAUGCCAAAGCUCUUACAGUAACUCUGUACUCCAGGGGAAGCAGCUGAAUACAAUCAGAGAUGUUCACAGCUUGUGUUGAAGAUAAGCGUCAUCACUGUGGUCUUACAAAUGAGAAAGCAGAGGCAGAGAGAAGUUUCACCCAAGGCCACGAUGGGAGUUGAAAGUGAAGAUCAGAGAAGCUCUGUACCUGCUUAGAGCAUGGACUGUGUGUCUUCUAUGAGCAAAAAGAAAAAGAGAGGGUUCAGAGUCCAGAUCCGUGUACUUGUUUAGAAAACCUCAAACACUCAAAACUACAGUCAUUGGACCACUACCUGGGGUGCUUACCCGGAGCAUCUGAAGCCAGUAGAUAGAUCCUGGAGCUGGAAAGUAAAGCCAACUGCAAACAAACUGUCUUGCCCCAGUAUCCUUGGAAGCCCCCACGCUGCUGGGUCACUCCCUGGAGCCCCUCCAGCCACACUGGUGGAGGUGGCACAGCUGGAGGAUGAAGGCUUUCAUUUGGAGGCCCAGCUUCUAAUUUAUAAGCCCGACUUUAGCCAAGCAGAUCUGACAGCCCUGGCCUCAGCCUUUAAUGCAAUUAGUAUUCUGGACGCUAUUGAUGAUUUCAUGCCAAAUCAAUUUUGGCACAUUAAAGUGAUUUGUCUGAAAUCCAGCAAAAGAGCUCUCCUAAUAACUCAGCUCUCAGACUCUGCAACGCUGGUGGGAAGGUAAUGUGUCUGCAUAGGUCUCCUCAAUCUGCUCUAAAAAUUUCAGGAAGGUUUAACUGGAAUUUAAAGCAUUUUAAUGCGUACACUUUCUUUUAAGUCUUUGCCAUUCAUUUUAACUCUAAGUACUUUGUAGUUGGCUUCAAGGUAAUUUUAAAAUAAAAAAAAAUUAAAACUGUCUUCAAGAAGGAGGGGUAUCAUCUUGAACUUUAAGUAUAGCUGUAGUUGUGUGUGGGGAAAAAAAUGCACAUUACACGGUCUAAAAGUGUGCUAACAAAGUGGUCUUGAACUACUUGGUGUUCUUCAGGGAAUGCAUUCCUCUUUUUGCUGGAGCAAGGAUAGUGCAUAACUAAGCUGC